CCUACGGGAGGCAGCAGUGGGGAAUAUUGCACAAUGGGGGAAACCCUGAUGCAGCGACGCCGCGUGAGUUAAGAAGUAUCUCGGUAUGUAAAGCUCUAUCAGCAGGGAAGAAAAUGACGGUACCUGACUACGAGGCCCCGGCUAACUACGUCCCAGCAGCCGCGGUAAUACGUAGUGGGCAAGCGUUAUGCGGAUUUACUGGGUGUAAGGGGAGCGUAGACGGCGAUGCAUGUCCGGAGUGAAAGCACAGGGCUUAACCAUGGAACUGCGCUGGAGACUGUGGAGCUUGAGUGCGGUAGGGGGAGGCGGAAGUCCUGGUGUAGCGGUGAAAUGCGUAGAGAUUAGGAGGAAUACCGAAGGCGAAGGCGGCCUCCUGGACCGUAACUGACGUUGAGGCUCGAAAGCGUGGGGAGCAAACAGGAUUAGAGACCCGAGUAGUC
This 440-nucleotide ribosomal RNA is filed under the name uncultured bacterium. RNAcentral describes it as "partial 16S ribosomal RNA". It matches the Rfam family "Bacterial small subunit ribosomal RNA", at positions 338 to 795 of the family's 1533-position model. The record is from RNAcentral.